GCUCCUUCACUGCCAAUGCUACCACCGAUUCCAGGGACUUUCGACAUCACGAUGUUGCUUGUCUCGGCAACUUUCUCGUAAACAGGUGAGAGUUUUUCUGUCACAGUUGCUGCGACUUUCUUCCCGUAUUCAACUGGUGAUGAGGCCAGGUUGGUCUUUCGUUGUUCUUCUCCUACAUGCAUUUCAUGUUCUUUAUUAUUGUUCUCUUGAUAUCCAAUUUUGGAAGCUAUAACAUUCUUUGCAGAUAUCGCUUUAUCAGCAAUUGCGGAAGUGGCAGAAUAUAUUUUCUCUUUAUAGCUGCCCUGUUUCGAUGCAUCAGGAGUCUCUGAAACGGAACGAGAGCUAUCAUGGGAGUCUACAGGCAUCGG
Molecule: long non-coding RNA, 368 nt
Filed under: Ricinus communis (castor bean)
Lineage: Eukaryota; Viridiplantae; Streptophyta; Magnoliopsida; Malpighiales; Euphorbiaceae
Description: long non-coding RNA (RCOM_LNC000113)
Source: RNAcentral